GAUGAACGCUAGCGGCAGGCCUAAUACAUGCAAGUCGGACGGGAUUCAGGAGCUUGCUUCUGAUGAGAGUGGCGCACGGGUGCGUAACACGUAUGUAACCUACCUUUAUCAGGGGGAUAGCCUCUCGAAAGAGAGAUUAAGCCCGCAUAAAAUCACAGCACAGCAUUGUGUAAUGAUCAAAUAUUUAUAGGAUAAAGAUGGGCAUGCGGAACAUUAGCUAGAUGGCGGGGUAACGGCCCACCAUGGCGACGAUGUUUAGGGGAUCUGAGAGGAUGGCCUCCCACACUGGUACUGAGACACGGACCAGACUCCUACGGGAGGCAGCAGUAAGGAAUAUUGGUCAAUGGGCGGAAGCCUGAACCAGCCAUGCCGCGUGCAGGAAGACGGCCCUACGGGUUGUAAACUGCUUUUAUACGGGAAUAAACCCAGAUACGUGUAUCUGGCUGAAUGUACUGUAAGAAUAAGGAUCGGCUAACUCCGU
This 481-nucleotide ribosomal RNA is filed under the name uncultured bacterium. RNAcentral's name for it is "partial 16S ribosomal RNA". It matches the Rfam family "Bacterial small subunit ribosomal RNA", at positions 28 to 506 of the family's 1533-position model. The record is from RNAcentral.